UUCAGAAAGUCUAUGUUUCUUGAUGACAUAUUGAUUUGCUGCGGUAGGCUAUCUGCGAUGUAAUAUUCCUGUGUCUUAUGGAUCCAUUCCUCUAAAGAAGGACCACCAAGUACAUAAGAAUGAGCCAACCUUUUCCCCACAUUUCCAGCAUGUAGGAAUCCAGCUUGGUCUUCUUUAAUUAUUUCAUUUAAUACAACCUUGAGUCUAUGUUAGAACUGAUGUGAAUAUUUUAUAGUCGACGUUGAGUAACGAAAUCGGCCUAAAGUCUUCCUUGAUGGAGGCCCCCUUGAACAUGAUUGCAUUGAAACGAUGGAUGUUACAUAUGCUGCCCGAGCAGAUCUCCAAGAUACUCCUAUUGAAUCUCCAAGAUACUCCCAUUGACUUUCUCCAAAAACAAGCGUCAC
Sphaerodactylus townsendi is the source of this 404-nucleotide long non-coding RNA. RefSeq lists it as uncharacterized. The record is from RefSeq and is a predicted model, not a curated record. The transcript is spliced from 4 exons. NCBI's taxonomy places the organism in Eukaryota, Metazoa, Chordata, Lepidosauria, Squamata, Sphaerodactylidae.